CAGUAGCCGCGGUAAUACGAAGGGUGCAAGCGUUACUCGGAAUUACUGGGCGUAAAGCGUGCGUAGGCGGUAUGGUAAGUCAGGUGUGAAAUCCCGGGGCUCAACCCCGGAACUGCAUCCGAUACUGCCGUGCUAGAGGACUGGAGAGGCAACUGGAAUUCUCGGUGUAGCAGUGAAAUGCGUGGAGAUCGAGAGGAACACUCGUGGCGAAAGCGAGUUGCUGGACAGUAUCUGACGCUGAGGCUCGAAGGCCAGGGUAGCGAAAGGGAUUAGAUACCCCAGUAGUCCCUGUCUCUUAUAC
Molecule: ribosomal RNA, 301 nt
Filed under: uncultured bacterium
Lineage: Bacteria
Description: partial 16S ribosomal RNA
Rfam family: Bacterial small subunit ribosomal RNA
Source: RNAcentral